Molecule: ribosomal RNA, 495 nt
Filed under: uncultured bacterium
Lineage: Bacteria
Description: partial 16S ribosomal RNA
Rfam family: Bacterial small subunit ribosomal RNA
Source: RNAcentral
GAUGAACGCUGGCGGCGUGCCUAAUACAUGCAAGUCGAGCGAACAGAUAAGGAGCUUGCUCCUUUGACGUUAGCGGCGGACGGGUGAGUAACACGUGGGUAACCUACCUAUAAGACUGGAAUAACUCCGGGAAACCGGGGCUAAUGCCGGAUAACAUUUAGAACCGCAUGGUUCUAAAGUGAAAGAUGGUUUUGCUAUCACUUAUAGAUGGACCUGCGCCGUAUUAGCUAGUUGGUAAGGUAACGGCUUACCAAGGCAACGAUACGUAGCCGACCUGAGAGGGUGAUCGGCCACACUGGAACUGAGACACGGUCCAGACUCCUACGGGAGGCAGCAGUAGGGAAUCUUCCGCAAUGGGCGAAAGCCUGACGGAGCAACGCCGCGUGAGUGAUGAAGGUCUUCGGAUCGUAAAACUCUGUUAUUAGGGAAGAACAAAUGUGUAAGUAACUGUGCACGUCUUGACGGUACCUAAUCAGAAAGCCACGGCUAACUACG